Molecule: long non-coding RNA, 802 nt
Organism: Papaver somniferum (opium poppy)
Lineage: Eukaryota; Viridiplantae; Streptophyta; Magnoliopsida; Ranunculales; Papaveraceae
Exons: 5
Source: RefSeq, a predicted model, not a curated record
CUAGAUCCUAAUUUGAAGCAGAACUUUUUUUUCCUCAUAAGUUCGUAACCGGCAACCAAUCAAUUAUCAAACCUGUUUGUGUAAACCAAUUCAAUCUUUUCUCCAUCGAUGAAGCCUGCAACUUCAUCUUUAUCGAAACCCUAGAAAACGAACUCCUAAUCCAAUAAUAUUCUUGAAAAAAUUCGUCGUUCUCAAAGCCCUAGAAUUUUCUAUCUCUCGAAACCCCUGGCGAACAAACUCAAAUCUUUUUCUCUCAAUUUAUGGUAUUUCUGGUUUGAUUUUUGCAACAUCUUAUACCGCUAAUGUUAGUGGUUGUAAUCAAGGUAUGAGAUCUGAAAUAGGGCUUUGCCUUUGAUUUUUUUUGCUCAAGGCCAGAGUCAAACCACUGUGAGAUUAAAGAAUCAGAUGUAAACUUGAGAAGUAACAGGGGAAAUAAGGUAAAUCAAUAUGUUACAAUAGUCCAUAGGAGAAAUCUAUUUGCUUCGUACAUAUCUGAAUGCCUCUAGGAGACAAGUGAUUCGUCAAGCAGAUGAUAAUAAUUGGAAGGAAAAGCUACCCUCAACUCAUAGAUGAAUUGGUAUGGUAUGUGCAUACAUAGCAGGAACGCGGCUUAGGAAUGGACUGCUGGUGUUGAUUAAGCACAAAAUAAGUCUAGUUUUAAGUAUAAAGUUUCUCAACUUCAGCGUCGGGUUAAUAUUAACUAUUAAGUUCUGAUAUUGUUUGCUAGUUUCUUUUUUUAUGUUAAAGAUGGAUUCACUAUACUUGUAAAACAUAUUUUUUUUUAAAUGAAAUCUGAAUUCUU